GUAAUACAUAGAUAAUCUGUCCUCAACUUGGGAAUAACGGUUGGAAACGACCGCUAAUACCGAAUGUGGUAUGUUUAGGCAUCUAAAACAUAUUAAAGAAGGGGAUCUUCGGACCUUUCGGUUAAGGGAGAGUCUAUGGGAUAUCAGCUUGUUGGUGGGGUAAUGGCCUACCAAGGUUUUGACGUCUAGGCGGAUUGAGAGAUUGACCGCCAACACUGGGACUGAGACACUGCCCAGACUUCUACGGAAGGCUGCAGUCGAGAAUCUUUCGCAAUGGACGAAAGUCUGACGAAGCAACGCCGCGUGUGUGAUGAAGGCUCUAGGGUUGUAAAGCACUUUCGCUUGGGAAUAAGAGAGAUUGGCUAAUAUCCAAUCGAAUUGAGCGUACCAGGUAA
Molecule: ribosomal RNA, 395 nt
Filed under: uncultured Chlamydia sp.
Lineage: Bacteria; Pseudomonadati; Chlamydiota; Chlamydiia; Chlamydiales; Chlamydiaceae
Description: bacterial SSU rRNA
Rfam family: Bacterial small subunit ribosomal RNA
Source: RNAcentral